Molecule: non-coding RNA, 1346 nt
Organism: Schizosaccharomyces pombe (fission yeast)
Lineage: Eukaryota; Fungi; Ascomycota; Schizosaccharomycetes; Schizosaccharomycetales; Schizosaccharomycetaceae
Source: the annotation of a GenBank genome assembly
CUAGCAUUUAAUUUCCCCAACAGACCAUCGAUUAAUUUUUUGAGAAAGAAUUCAAGAGUUGCGUGAAGUCCAGUGGUAUCCACUAUUGCUUGAAAAUCUUCCAUAGUGAUCUGAAAACUACGUCGGUCCUGACAACCACUAAAACAGCUUUUUAAAAACUCGCUUAUAACGGUUAGCCGCUCUUCGUCCUUUUCAUCUCCUUCAUAACAGCAAAGCAGAAUUAACGAUUCUGAAAGUUCGACAACUUCUUCCGUCCUAAGUGUGCCAUCUCUUUUCAAAUCGUACAACUGAAAACACAAGAUUUCAGAAUGCAGUGCUAUAUCUGCUUUCAACCGUUCCAAACCAUGAAUGAUUCUUUUGAAAGUUAAAGAUGUUUCAGUAGAAUCACCGUCUUUCAUCCAAAUAUAUAAUCUGGUAAAAAGUUUCCGCUUACUACGUUGAUAAUGCAAAGGUUCACGAAUCACACUUAAAGGUGGGGCUGCACAAUCGACAAGCCUUUCAAAUCCAUUGAAAUCAAUCUUUUGUUCUAAGACGUCGCCGUGACAAAUAUUAUUUUCCCCAAUGGCAUUAAUGAACGCAUCAUAUACCAAAUCUAAAUCAGUGUUCGAUAAUAAGGUAGUUUGGUAUACGCUUCGUAAGUGUGAUCGCUUGGUAAAACAUCGUAAAGAAUAGAGCACACUACUCUUGAAUUCUUUUCUUUUGGCAGACACAAAACUAUCGGUAAUAAAAUCAAAGUACUCAAAAGCGACAGCAAAUAACUGUGGAAGGGUACACAUAGAAGAUCUACUACCUAAAGCAGCCAUCUUUUCAUCGGCAGCUGUUCCUUGGUUGAUAUGAUCAAAACAUUGACGAAACACUUUCAUAACAGAAGAAUCGUCUGUCGCAUUUAAAAUCCCUUGGGCAUUUACUUUGAACAGAGCUAAAGCCACUUGAAAAAGAACACGUGGACCGUUAACGAAUAGACAGUCUAAUAUCCUGAAAGCAUAAUCUAACCUAAAGUCUUUUAUGAACAACGAAAAGAACCAGUUGAUUGUAAUAAGCUUCAAAUCCAUAUCUAGCUCAAUAAUUUUCUGAUAUAAGUGAGGAAGCGUAUGUUCUAAAACAUACUCAAAUACCGUUAAAUCCAGUAAUAGCCCAUGUAUUAUCUUAGCGUAAUACCCAGGAAUAUAAAACUCACAUAGUUGAGAAAAAAGAAAGUAUGCUUGCUCUUCUGUGCAAUAAACCAGCAAAGCAGCAAGCACAAUGUUCAUAGCCUGACAAUAACCAACCUCUUUAUUGGUCUCAGAAUAAAACAGAAGGAUUCUUCUCAAUGUAUUAAUGCCCGUAGGUGAUUGAUAAGCAGGAUA